GACGAACGCUGGCGGCGUGCCUAAUACAUGCAAGUAGAACGCUGAAGGAGGAGCUUGCUUCUCUGGAUGAGUUGCGAACGGGUGAGUAACGCGUAGGUAACCUGCCUGGUAGCGGGGGAUAACUAUUGGAAACGAUAGCUAAUACCGCAUAAGAGUAGAUGUUGCAUGACAUUUGCUUAAAAGGUGCAAUUGCAUCACUACCAGAUGGACCUGCGUUGUAUUAGCUAGUUGGUGGGGUAACGGCUCACCAAGGCGACGAUACAUAGCCGACCUGAGAGGGUGAUCGGCCACACUGGGACUGAGACACGGCCCAGACUCCUACGGGAGGCAGCAGUAGGGAAUCUUCGGCAAUGGACGGAAGUCUGACCGAGCAACGCCGCGUGAGUGAAGAAGGUUUUCGGAUCGUAAAGCCCUGUUGUAAGAGAAGAACGAGUGUGAGAGUGGAAAGUUCACACUGUGACGGUAUCUUACCAGAAAGGGACGGCUAACUACGU
Molecule: ribosomal RNA, 494 nt
Filed under: uncultured bacterium
Lineage: Bacteria
Description: partial 16S ribosomal RNA
Rfam family: Bacterial small subunit ribosomal RNA
Source: RNAcentral